AAUACAUGCAAGUCGAACGAUCCCUUCGGGGAUAGUGGCGCACGGGUGCGUAACGCGUGGGAAUCUGCCCUUGGGUUCGGAAUAACGUCGGGAAACUGACGCUAAUACCGGAUGAUGACGUAAGUCCAAAGAUUUAUCGCCCAGGGAUGAGCCCGCGUAGGAUUAGCUAGUUGGUGAGGUAAAGGCUCACCAAGGCGACGAUCCUUAGCUGGUCUGAGAGGAUCAUCAGCCACACUGGGACUGAGACACGCCCAGACUCCUACGGAG
This 267-nucleotide ribosomal RNA is filed under the name Sphingomonas sp. WI4. RNAcentral's name for it is "partial 16S ribosomal RNA". It matches the Rfam family "Bacterial small subunit ribosomal RNA", at positions 50 to 347 of the family's 1533-position model. Lineage: Bacteria; Pseudomonadati; Pseudomonadota; Alphaproteobacteria; Sphingomonadales; Sphingomonadaceae. The record is from RNAcentral.